GGAGCUGCUCCCGGAUGUUAGCGGCGGACGGGUGAGUAACACGUGGGUAACCUGCCUGGUAAGACUGGGAUAACUCCGGGAAACCGGAGCUAAUACCGGAUAGUUCCUUGAACCGCAUGGUUCAAGGAUGAAAGACGGUUUCGGCUGUCACUUACAGAUGGACCCGCGGCGCAUUAGCUAGUUGGUGAGGUAACGGCUCACCAAGGCGACGAUGCGUAGCCGACCUGAGAGGGUGAUCGGCCACACUGGGACUGAGACACGGCCCAGACUCCUACGGGAGGCAGCAGUGGUCAAG
Molecule: ribosomal RNA, 295 nt
Filed under: Bacillus sp. YL1
Lineage: Bacteria; Bacillati; Bacillota; Bacilli; Caryophanales; Bacillaceae
Description: partial 16S ribosomal RNA
Rfam family: Bacterial small subunit ribosomal RNA
Source: RNAcentral